CAGGAUAUAGCUCAGCUUGGUAGAGCAUCUGCUUUGGGAGCAGACUGUCAGAGGUUCAAGUCCUCUUAUCCUGACCA
RNAcentral lists this transfer RNA (77 nucleotides) under Salmonella enterica. RNAcentral describes it as "tRNA-Pro". It matches the Rfam family "tRNA". Rfam says of the family: Transfer RNA (tRNA) molecules are approximately 80 nucleotides in length. Their secondary structure includes four short double-helical elements and three loops (D, anti-codon, and T loops). Lineage: Bacteria; Pseudomonadati; Pseudomonadota; Gammaproteobacteria; Enterobacterales; Enterobacteriaceae. The record is from RNAcentral.